UCUAUUCAUCAUCAUCAUCAUCAUCUGUCGUUUGUCAAUCUAUGAUAUGGUUGAAAACGCCACCUUCAUCAUCAUCAGCGGCUCGCAGAGAAAACAACACCAAUAAGGCAAAGGCAAUCACGGCUAUGACGUUGUGUUCAUCAUCACCAGACACCAUCACAACCAGUAACUAUCUUCGAUAGGGUCAGAAGUGUCCAGCUCGUAUUCGCCUUCGUUGCUUCGCAAGAUGUCGAUCUCUGAAGUUCAUGAAUACUAAAUAUGUGAACCAUGAGUUUCAACCUUGCUAUGCUUUGUUAUGCUUAUAUGAUUUAUGCUUUAAAAUAUUUUUGAUUGUUG
This 336-nucleotide long non-coding RNA is filed under the name Citrus maxima (pomelo). Its description in RNAcentral is "long non-coding RNA (CMAX_LNC003509)". Lineage: Eukaryota; Viridiplantae; Streptophyta; Magnoliopsida; Sapindales; Rutaceae. The record is from RNAcentral.